UGGGUCAUUUAUAGCUCGCCAGGGCCAGUGAGCUUAAUCACUUGUCCAACUUUGUUUACUUUUACAAAAAUCUUCUCUUAAACUACUGGGCCACAUUUAACCAAACUUGGCAACAAUCAUCAUUGGGUAUGUUUAUAAAUUGUGUUUGAUGACCCUGGCUGCAAAACAAGUUGGUAGACAACUAUAUUGUGAGAGAAAUUUGUUCUUUAGAGAAUGACUGGAGUGGCCCACUCUCAGGCAGUCAAUGGGCCUUUUUGAAAAUGUUUGGAUCAGCCACGUUUUUGCAUUGUAGGAGUUUUUCAUUAGAUGAAUGCUUCUUUAUGUUGCGUCUAUACCUGAACUCUUGAAAAAUGUUCAGCCAAUCCCUUGUAGAUUUUAAUAAAUGGAGAAAAAAAAACAAAGGAUAUGGGGCAUCCAUCCUUAAUACAAAGACAGUA
RNAcentral lists this long non-coding RNA (437 nucleotides) under Mytilus galloprovincialis (Mediterranean mussel). The record is from RNAcentral. Lineage: Eukaryota; Metazoa; Mollusca; Bivalvia; Mytilida; Mytilidae.